CUAGCCUACUAAUUCGUUUCCCGAUCCGGCUUGCGUCGGUGCUAACUUCCUAGAGGGACAGGUGGCGUUUAGCCACACGAGAUUGAGCAAUAACAGGUCUGUGAUGCCUUUAGAUGUCCGGGGCCGCACGCGCGCUACACUGAAGGAAUCAGCGUGGAUGCUUCCCUGGACCGAAGGGGUUGGGAAACCCGUUGAAUCCCCUUCGUGAUAGGGAUUGGGGCUUGAAAUUCUUCCCAAUGAACGAGGAAUUCCCAGUAAGCGCGAGUCAUAAGCUCGCGUUGAUUACGUCCCUGCCCUUUGUACACACCGCCCGUCGCUACUACCGAUUGAACGGUUUAGUGAGGGCCUCGAAUUGGUCUCGGCGCGCCCUUCACCGAGCGGCGCCUUGGGUCGAGAAGACGCUCGAACUUGAUCGUUUAGAGGAAGUAAAAGUCGUAACAAGGUUUCCGUAGGUGAACCUGCGAAAGGAUCAUUUU
RNAcentral lists this ribosomal RNA (476 nucleotides) under Cyclophorus volvulus. RNAcentral's name for it is "bacterial SSU rRNA". It matches the Rfam family "Eukaryotic small subunit ribosomal RNA", at positions 1343 to 1831 of the family's 1831-position model. Lineage: Eukaryota; Metazoa; Mollusca; Gastropoda; Architaenioglossa; Cyclophoridae. The record is from RNAcentral.